GAUGAACGCUGGCGGCGUGCCUAAUACAUGCAAGUCGAGCGAACGGACGAGAAGCUUGCUUCUCUGAUGUUAGCGGCGGACGGGUGAGUAACACGUGGAUAACCUACCUAUAAGACUGGGAUAACUUCGGGAAACCGGAGCUAAUACCGGAUAAUAUUUUGAACCGCUUGGUUCAAGAGUGAAAGACGGUCUUGCUGUCACUUAUAGAUGGAUCCGCGCUGCAUUAGCUAGUUGGUAAGGUAACGGCUUACCAAGGCAACGAUGCGUAGCUGACCUGAGAGGGUGAUCAGCCACACUGGAACUGAGACACGGUCCAGACUCCUACGGGAGGCAGCAGUAGGGAAUCUUCCGCAAUGGGCGCAAGCCUGACGCAGCAACGCCGCGUGAGUGAUGAAGGUCUUCGGAUCGUAAAACUCUGUUAUUAGGGAAGAACAUAUGUGUAAGUAACUGUGCACAUCUUGACGGUACCUAAUCAGAAAGCCACGGCUAACUACGUG
Molecule: ribosomal RNA, 497 nt
Filed under: uncultured bacterium
Lineage: Bacteria
Description: partial 16S ribosomal RNA
Rfam family: Bacterial small subunit ribosomal RNA
Source: RNAcentral